Molecule: ribosomal RNA, 338 nt
Filed under: uncultured soil bacterium
Lineage: Bacteria
Description: bacterial SSU rRNA
Rfam family: Bacterial small subunit ribosomal RNA
Source: RNAcentral
AGAACGAACGCUGGCGGCAUGCCUAAUACAUGCAAGUCGAACGAACUCUUCGGAGUUAGUGGCGCACGGGUGCGUAACGCGUGGGAAUCUGCCCUUGGGUUCGGAAUAACAGUUGGAAACGACUGCUAAUACCGGAUGAUGACGAAAGUCCAAAGAUUUAUCGCCCAGGGAUGAGCCCGCGUAGGAUUAGCUAGUUGGUGAGGUAAAGGCUCACCAAGGCGACGAUCCUUAGCUGGUCUGAGAGGAUGAUCAGCCACACUGGGACUGAGACACGGCCCAGACUCCUACGGGAGGCAGCAGUAGGGAAUAUUGACAUGGGCGAAAGCCUGAUCCAGCCA